CCAAAUAAACCCCGAUGUCACGCACAUAAUCAUUCUUUUGCUUUGUCUCAAUCAGGAACAACAUAUCUGGGAGAUACAACCUUUGCAUCUCCUUUAGACGUCGAACUGUCAGGCGUUGCCCCAAGCCUCGACAGUUCCACACCUCAACUCUCAUGGUUCCUCUGGUGGUACCGGGCCCACCGCGCCUCUGUCAAUUGGGGGAACAGACUCCUGUUCCAUAUCGUCACCGUAGUCUCUCUGAAUUUUGCUGAGAGCACCAUAGUCCGAGCACAUAUUGAC
This 279-nucleotide long non-coding RNA is filed under the name Brassica rapa (field mustard). Its description in RNAcentral is "long non-coding RNA (BRAP_LNC006606)". Lineage: Eukaryota; Viridiplantae; Streptophyta; Magnoliopsida; Brassicales; Brassicaceae. The record is from RNAcentral.